UGGGGAAUUUUGGACAAUGGGGGAAACCCUGAUCCAGCCAUCCCGCGUGUGCGAUGAAGGCCUUCGGGUUGUAAAGCACUUUUGGCAGGAAAGAAACGUCAUGGGUUAAUACCCCGUGAAACUGACGGUACCUGCAGAAUAAGCACCGGCUAACUACGUGCCAGCAGCCGCGGUAAUACGUAGGGUGCAAGCGUUAAUCGAAUUACUGGGCGUAAAGCGUGCGCAGGCGGUUCGGAAAGAAAGAUGUGAAAUCCCAGAGCUCAACUUUGGAACUGCAUUUUUAACUACCGGGCUAGAGUGUGUCAGAGGGAGGUGGAAUUCCGCGUGUAGCAGUGAAAUGCGUAGAUAUGCGGAGGAACACCGAUGGCGAAGGCAGCCUCCUGGGAUAACACUGACGCUCAUGCACGAAAGCGUGGGGAGCAAACAGG
This 428-nucleotide ribosomal RNA is filed under the name Acidobacteriota bacterium. RNAcentral's name for it is "Acidobacteria bacterium partial 16S ribosomal RNA". It matches the Rfam family "Bacterial small subunit ribosomal RNA", at positions 355 to 776 of the family's 1533-position model. The record is from RNAcentral. Lineage: Bacteria; Pseudomonadati; Acidobacteriota.